This 496-nucleotide ribosomal RNA is filed under the name uncultured bacterium. Its description in RNAcentral is "partial 16S ribosomal RNA". It matches the Rfam family "Bacterial small subunit ribosomal RNA", at positions 28 to 507 of the family's 1533-position model. The record is from RNAcentral.
GAUGAACGCUGGCGGCGUGCCUAAUACAUGCAAGUCGAGCGAACAGAUGAGGAGCUUGCUCCUCUGACGUUAGCGGCGGACGGGUGAGUAACACGUGGAUAACCUACCUAUAAGACUGGGAUAACUUCGGGAAACCGGAGCUAAUACCGGAUAAUAUAUUGAACCGCAUGGUUCAAUAGUGAAAGACGGUUUUGCUGUCACUUAUAGAUGGAUCCGCGCCGCAUUAGCUAGUUGGUAAGGUAACGGCUUACCAAGGCAACGAUGCGUAGCCGACCUGAGAGGGUGAUCGGCCACACUGGAACUGAGACACGGUCCAGACUCCUACGGGAGGCAGCAGUAGGGAAUCUUCCGCAAUGGGCGAAAGCUUGACGGAGCAACGCCGCGUGAGUGAUGAAGGUCUUCGGAUCGUAAAACUCUGUUAUAGGGAAGAACAAAUGUGUAAGUAACUAUGCACGUCUUGACGGUACCUAAUCAGAAAGCCACGGCUAACUACGUG